CAGUUCUCUCCCACCUCCUAGUGCAGGGGGAGUGAGCAAAUGACUGCGGUGUUUAGCUGCCUGUUGGGUUAAAUCACAACAUUGGCUCAGUUACUUUCUUCUGAACCUCACAUUGAAGAAAAUAUGUGGGAUGAAUUAAGACACUCCCUCGCUGAAGUGGCUUCAAGGACAGAACACUUUUGUGUCAUUCAUACUGAACACUGAGUGGAAAUUUAACCUACCACUUUUUUCUUUAAAUUUGUUGAAAUGCAUCCUAUACCAUGAAGUUGAGGUCCAGAAUGAUUCGAGCAGAAUAUUUUUGUAUAAAUCAAAUUACUUCAAUAGACAGCACACUGAAAUGAAAAUAGAAAAAUACACUUUUUAAAGGCCAGAGGGCUGUGAAAACUAUUAGCUCUUUUUUGAAGGUGACUUUCAAUAAAAGAACCAUGUCAUAAGCAACAGGAGAGAUCCUGCCAUUUGUUGUAAUUUUGCUAUAGUCCAUUUCCAUUGACAACUCAGUAAUAUAAAAUUCAUUAUAAACCUACUAUAAUGUACAAGCUAAAUCACAGAAAUAUUUAAACAUCACAGAAAAGAACCACCUGUAUUAAUUAAAAUAGGAAAAUCAGAUAGGGACAGAAUAUGUAUACAGAAAACACAGAACAGUGGUCAUUGAUUUUAGUGAUCAAAGGAAAAAUCGAUAGAUUAAUGCAUUUUAUUCUCAGAGAUAAAAAACAUUUUGUGAGUCUUCCAUUUAAUAAUAGUGCUCUAAAAUCCAAGGGCCACCAAUAUAAAUGACCUUUUCUUUCCAAAGAAAUGAUUAAAAAUGGGUCUGUGGAUUGUAAAGAUCAUCCAUCUGAACUUCAUUUCAUCUGCUAUCAUGCUGUCGUGUCAUAUCCUACACAUGGUAGGAAAAAAAAAAAAAAAACAUGAAAAAAAAAUUCUUUUUAUGGUAGAAAAAAAAAAAAAAAACCAUGAAAAAAAUCAAAAACGUUUAGUUCUGCCUGUGUUCUGCCUUGCAUGUGCAGAGUUAGGAUGACAUAUUCCUGAGGACUGUGGGCUAUUUUAUAUGAGCUAAGUGAAGAAGUCUUCUAGAUAUAGCAUAGUAUUGCCAUCAUCUUGUCUGAAUCAGGAAAGUGAUACUUUCAUCCAUAUAUCCUGUUUUUCUAGCCCUAUUUCCUUUCAUAAGCCUGUAAUUCAUAUAAAUAAGGAGAUGAAAAGGACAAUGUUAUUUUUAAAUGAUGCUAAAUAUAUUC
Anas platyrhynchos (mallard) is the source of this 1232-nucleotide long non-coding RNA. RefSeq lists it as uncharacterized. The record is from RefSeq and is a predicted model, not a curated record. NCBI's taxonomy places the organism in Eukaryota, Metazoa, Chordata, Aves, Anseriformes, Anatidae.